RNAcentral lists this ribosomal RNA (254 nucleotides) under uncultured bacterium. RNAcentral's name for it is "partial 16S ribosomal RNA". It matches the Rfam family "Bacterial small subunit ribosomal RNA", at positions 524 to 776 of the family's 1533-position model. The record is from RNAcentral.
UACGUAGGGGGCGAGCGUUGUCCGGAUUCAUUGGGCGUAAAGAGCUCGUAGGCGGCUUGUCAAGUCGGGUGUGAAACCUCCAGGCUCAACCUGGAGACGCCACUCGAGACUGUCAUGGCUAGAGUCCGGUAGGGGAUCACGGAAUUCCUGGUGUAGCGGUGAAAUGCGCAGAUAUCAGGAAGAACACCCGUGGCUAAGGCGGCUCUCUAGUACGGUACUGACGCUGAGACGCGAAAGCGUGGGGAGCGAACAGG